CCUACGGGAGGCUGCAGUAGGGAAUAUUGCUCAAUGGGGGAAACCCUGAAGCAGCAACGCCGCGUGGAGGAUGAAGGUUUUCGGAUUGUAAACUCUUUUUGUUAGAGAAGAUAAUGACGGUAUCUAACGAAUAAGCACCGGCUAACUCCGUGCCAGCAUCCGCGGUCAUACGGAGGGUGCAAGCGUUACUCGGAAUCACUGGGCGUAAAGAGCGCGUAGGCGGGAUAGCAAGUCAGAUGUGAAAUCCUAUGGCUUAACCAUAGAACUGCAUUUGAAACUGUUAUUCUAGAGUAUGGGAGAGGUAGGUGGAAUUCUUGGUGUAGGGGUAAAAUCCGUAGAGAUCAAGAGGAAUACUCAUUGCGAAGGCGACCUGCUAGAACAUAACUGACGCUGAUGCGCGAAAGCGUGGGGAGCAAACAGGAUUAGAUACCCCAGUAGUC
Molecule: ribosomal RNA, 440 nt
Filed under: uncultured bacterium
Lineage: Bacteria
Description: partial 16S ribosomal RNA
Rfam family: Bacterial small subunit ribosomal RNA
Source: RNAcentral